Molecule: ribosomal RNA, 434 nt
Filed under: uncultured bacterium
Lineage: Bacteria
Description: bacterial SSU rRNA
Rfam family: Bacterial small subunit ribosomal RNA
Source: RNAcentral
AAUGAACGUUGGCGGCGUGGAUUAGGCAUGCAAGUCGAGCGAGAAGCACCAGCUUGCUGGUGUGGACAGCGGCGAAAGGGAGAGUAAUACGUAGAAAUCUGCCCCGGAGUCUGGGAUAGCGUUGGGAAACUGGCGGUAAUACCGGAUAACGUCUUCGGACCAAAGAAUUUCGCUCUGGGAUGAGUCUACGACCUACUAGCUAGUUGGCGGGGUAACGGCCCACCAAGGCAACGAUGGGUAGCGGGUGUGAGAGCAUGAUCCGCCUCACUGGGACUGAGACACUGCCCAGACAUCUACGGAUGGCUGCAGUCGAGAAUCUUGUCAAUGGACGAAAGUCUGAACAAGCGACGCCGCGUGCGGGAUGAAGGCCUUCGGGUUGUAAACCGCUGUCAGAGGAGGAAUUUGACUGAACCAGAGGAACGGCUAAGUUCGUG